AACGAACGCUGGCGGCAUGCCUAACACAUGCAAGUCGAACGAACCCUUCGGGGUUAGUGGCGCACGGGUGCGUAACGCGUGGGAAUCUGCCCUUUGCUUCGGAAUAACAGUUAGAAAUGACUGCUAAUACCGGAUGAUGUCUUCGGACCAAAGAUUUAUCGGCAAGGGAUGAGCCCGCGUAGGAUUAGGUAGUUGGUGGGGUAAAGGCCUACCAAGCCGACGAUCCUUAGCUGGUCUGAGAGGAUGAUCA
This 250-nucleotide ribosomal RNA is filed under the name uncultured bacterium. RNAcentral's name for it is "partial 16S ribosomal RNA". It matches the Rfam family "Bacterial small subunit ribosomal RNA", at positions 29 to 306 of the family's 1533-position model. The record is from RNAcentral.